Molecule: ribosomal RNA, 432 nt
Filed under: uncultured bacterium
Lineage: Bacteria
Description: partial 16S ribosomal RNA
Rfam family: Bacterial small subunit ribosomal RNA
Source: RNAcentral
AACGAACGCUGGCGGCAGGCCUAACACAUGCAAGUCGAGCGCGCCCUUCGGGGUGAGCGGCGGACGGGUGAGUAACGCGUGGGAACGUGCCCUUUUCUACGGAAUAGCCUCGGGAAACUGAGAGUAAUACCGUAUACGCCCUUUGGGGGAAAGAUUUAUCGGAAAAGGAUCGGCCCGCGUUGGAUUAGGUAGUUGGUGGGGUAAUGGCCUACCAAGCCGACGAUCCAUAGCUGGUUUGAGAGGAUGAUCAGCCACACUGGGACUGAGACACGGCCCAGACUCCUACGGGAGGCAGCAGUGGGGAAUCUUAGACAAUGGGGGCAACCCUGAUCUAGCCAUGCCGCGUGAGUGAUGAAGGCCUUAGGGUUGUAAAGCUCUUUCAGCGGGGAAGAUAAUGACGGUACCAGCAGAAGAAGCCCCGGCUAACUCCGU